GACGAUUCCAGGUCACAAUAAGAACCAACGGAAUCUUCACAUCCAACAGUUGGAUAUUUUUCAAAAUCACAGGGAAUCGGUGCCGAUGAAAAUAUCAUCGUUUUAGUGACGAUUGUCCUAAUUAAUAGAAAAAUAAAUUCAAAUACAAGGUUCGAUGAUGAACUGGAAUGGAUUCCACCCAAUAACGAACUGAGAAAGAGAGAGAAAAAAAAUGUUUCGAUCAUUUUCUGUUUCCUGGUUGAUGAUCAAAGAACCAGAAGAAAAUGGAAGGAUGUUUAUCCUGAUGAUUUCGAUAAUGAUGCUUAUGAUGAUGAUGAUUAUUCUUUAUCACUGAAUAACCAUUGACGUUUCCAGUUUUCGAAGAUGCAGUUUAUCAAAAAAAAAAAAAUAAAAAAGAAAACACAAAAUCCGAAGCCUUAAAAUUGAACUUGGGAAAUUUUCGGUAAUAUUUUUCUUCUCGUUACACUUUAUCUUAGAGUUUUUUAUUAUUAUCCUUGGAGUUUUACUUUCUCAUUUUCGAUUUGUUAUUUUUUUAUUAUUAUUCCUUCUAAUAGGUAAUAAUAAUAUCGUUUAUGAACACACAAAGCUCAUAUAAAAAGGCGAGAAUAGAAUCUGAAAUUGUCUGUUUUCUUUAACUGAUGGAGAUUCACCAAAGAAUAACUCAUGAAAUUACUGAUGAAGAAGAUGAGAAGAUGAUUAUGAGGAUGAUAAUGAUGGAAGAUAAUUUUCACUCUUGUGUCAAUUCCUCGAGGAUCUAUUCAGUUCUAAUCAUUCAAACUGUUAUUUUUUCUUCUUCUCUUUUUUACCUUUUCCCCUGUUUAGUUUAUUUCAUCAACGAAAUGAAGAUGAACACAUCUUCUUCCAUUUAUCAUCUUGAUUCGCUGUAGGCUAGACUCAGAAUUCUGGGAGAUAACCUUCACCAUCCGCUCUAUUUCUCAGUAUCUUUUUUCUUCACCUUAAUCUUUUUCUUUUUUCUUCUGGUUUUCGACUCUUUAUUGAUCGUUUUUACUAUAUACCUUUUCUUUUUAUUCCCAAACUUUUCAUCUCUUUACUUAUUCUUGCUUCGAUUUACCUUCUAGUGUCUUUUCAAUCAACCAUUCGAAGAACGAGUUAAAUCAAAGUCUCAAUCCAACUUUUUAUUUCCAUUACAAUUUUCUGUUGAAACAGAAAAUAAAUAAACACAGUUGAUUGAAUCGAAGAUGAUAUAAUAUAAUAAAUCUACUUGUAAAUAUAAAUGAUAUUCUCAACAUGGAUUAUCAAUAGUAACCUAAUAGUUAUGGAAAACGGAAGAGGAAAAAUAUUCAAGUUUCUUGACACUCAGAAUGAAGACGAUGAUGAUGAUGGACAAGUUUUCUAAGAAGAAGGAGAAGAAAAAAGUUCUAAUCAUGGCAAUUGGUUUUCUCUUCUCUGUUCUGAGACUUAGAUUAUUGGGUGUCAAUUAUCAAGAUUAUGUCGACAAUCAUAAUGAUGAUUAUGAGGAUCACUUGAAUUGACGAUAAUGAUGUUCACCAAUUACAUUGAAAGGCCAUUGAAAAGGUUUAAUGUUUGCUCAUGAAAUCAGUAAGUUUGGUAUUUUGGUUACCUAGAUUAUUAUCAUUACCAAGACAAAUGAUCAUGAUUCUCAAGAACAACAUGAAGAUGGAAUAAUAAUAAUAUUCUAGGGGAAAUCCAAGUAAAAAAAGAGGACGAAAAGUAAAUUCGUUGAAGAUGAAUUAAAAUGAUGAAGAAAAAAGGAUGCGAUUGAUGAUCUUGAUGAAGAUGAAGAUAAGGAUGAGGAUGAGGAUGGAAAAGGCUGAAAAGUGGAUUCACUUCCUGAAGAUUUAAACCUCCUAAGAGGUUAUGGUGUACAUAAGAAGUAGAAGAAUCUAUUAACUUUGUUUUUCUUUUCUCUUUUAUUGGUGGUUAUCUCCUUGAUGGUGACUAUUUAAAUUUCAAUGAGAGAAAAAAAAAUCUAAAUGAAUUCGAACCUGAAAAUUGAAAUAUUAUCAGGAUCUCUUGGCAUUCUAAUAUUAAAGACUUUAUGGUUUGGACUGUUGAUUAUUUUCUCAUCUCAUGGAAAUUAAUUAUCAUCAAGUUCCUGUUCCUCUUGGAUGCAAACUCUAAUACUUAUGGAUUGAGUUUCUUGUCUAUUAUUAUGUUUGCCUUGAGAAAGAUUAUAUUGCCAAACGAAGCAAAGCCAAAUAUGAAUUUUGGGCAAAGUGAUGAGAAGGCAAAACAUUAUAAUCAUAAUGUUCAUCAUCUCGAUUGUGUGGAAAGUUAUUAUAAACAUGAUGGUAAAGAGAUGGAUUAUCAAGUCAAAUUAAGCAUCUUCGGGAAACAUUACAACGAUUAAUGUCAGUUCAUCAUAAACACACAUCGUUUCAACACGAAUCAAACAUCAUCAUAAUCAUCAUUAUGAUUCAGAAUUAUUAUUUUUUUCUUACAUAACUGUUAUCUACUUCAUUCCCACUCCCAACUUGCGCUGUUAUCACUCCCACCUCACCUUUACCACCCUCCAUGGAUCACAUCUCCAUCUAUUGAUCCACUUGCAAAGGAUUUUGAUAUAAUUUAUUCUGGUUCUUGGAAAACAUUUCAUGGGAAAAUUUUUUCUCUCAUCAACUAUUUAAUAUUACAAUUAGAACUCGAAAAGUUUGAAAAACUAUUUUAUUCAUGAAA
Molecule: long non-coding RNA, 2655 nt
Organism: Panonychus citri (citrus red mite)
Lineage: Eukaryota; Metazoa; Arthropoda; Arachnida; Trombidiformes; Tetranychidae
Exons: 6
Source: RefSeq, a predicted model, not a curated record